Molecule: non-coding RNA, 3112 nt
Organism: Miniopterus natalensis
Lineage: Eukaryota; Metazoa; Chordata; Mammalia; Chiroptera; Miniopteridae
Source: RefSeq, a predicted model, not a curated record
GGGAGGGGCGAUGGUUUCGAGGUAGGGCUUCGGGGAGAGGAAGCGAGAGCCGUUUCCUGCCUUCAACAAGACCCUCCUCUGAGGCCUCCCCCACCAGUUGCCCAAUAGUGACACACCUCCGCUCCUCCCGCGGCUCCUAUUUCACCAGCUCCUGCAGUGACAGCUGGAGGGCCUAAGGGAUGAUGUUCUUGCUCCCCAGCCUGGUCUCCCACCCACCGCCCUCUCCCCAGAGAAUGGAUUUAUCCCUGACCACCCCCCCACCCCACCCCCCGGGGGCAGGAUCACUGAAGGGCUGGGGCUGGCUCUGAGAGACCCGCCAGGUGAGCGGGGUGCUGCUGACUCCUGGAGCUGCCCAGAGCUUGCCGAAAUGGCUCCAAGAUCUUCCCCUUGGGCCACCUGUAAAGAUCUCUUUGCUGCCUGAAAUCCACCUUCCCUCCUUCCCCUUACCUGUACCGGGGGACAUCACCUUUGGAGCUCAUGGGGAUAGCUGAUGGGGAGAGGUUGGGCAGGGCCAGGGCCCAGGUGGAAGCUGCCUGUGAGAAGAAUUUGAGCAAGGAUGUGUUUUCUCUUUAGGGUGUGUGGCCUGAUCCCCAGGAGGAGCUACCCGGGGUUGCCAUGAGAGAGACCUUGGAGGCCCUCAACUCCCUGGGAUUCUCUGUGGGACAGCCGGAGAUGGCCCCCCAAAGUGAGCCUGGGGAAGGGUCCCAUAAUGCCCAGAAGCAGAUGUGCCCUCCCAGGGAAGAGACAGCACUGGGCUCCUGUUCGGGGCACGAGACCCCCAGACUGGAGGAAGGCGCCCACCCUGAACAGGCUGAGGUUCCCUGCAGCAGAAGCCAGGCAUGCACACCUCAGAAGGCAGAGCCUGCUAGCUCCUGCCCAGGAGACGAGUGGGUGAUCCGAAAGGUGAAGGUGGAAGAAGAGGUCGAGUGGCCCCAGCACCUGUCCUUACUCCCCGGUCCCUUUCCCGCACCUGACCUGGGGCCUCUGACCGCCGCGUAUAAGCUGGAGCCGGGCACCCCAGCGGCCCUGGGUGGGCUCGCGCCCGGCGGGUGGACCCCGGCCUCCGAGAAGCCCUACGGCUGCGGGGAGUGCGAGCGGCGGUUCCGGGACCAGCUGACCCUGCGGCUGCAUCAGCGGCUGCACCGCGGCGAGGGCCCCUGCGCCUGCCCGGACUGCGGCCGGAGCUUCACGCAGCGCGCGCACAUGCUCCUGCACCAGCGCAGCCACCGCGGCGAGCGGCCCUUCCCGUGCUCCGAGUGCGACAAGCGCUUCAGCAAGAAGGCGCACCUGACCCGCCACCUGCGCACGCACACGGGCGAGCGCCCCUACCCGUGCGCCGAGUGCGGCAAGCGCUUCAGCCAGAAGAUCCACCUGGGCUCGCACCAGAAGACGCACACGGGCGAGCGGCCCUUCCCCUGCCCCGAGUGCGAGAAGCGCUUUCGCAAAAAGACGCACCUGAUCCGCCACCAGCGCAUCCACACGGGCGAGAGGCCUUACCAGUGCGCGCAGUGCGCACGCAGCUUCACGCACAAGCAGCACUUGGUGCGGCACCAAAGGGUGCACGAGGCGGCCUGCCGCGCCCCGCUGUCUCCCGACGCGUCCGCCUCUCCGGGCUCCCCGGGCCCGUCCCCGGCCCCGUCCCCUCCCGGACCUAAGCCUUUCGCUUGCGCCGACUGCGGACUGAGUUUCGGCUGGAAGAAGAACCUCGCCACGCACCAGCGUCUGCACAGCGGCGAGGGGCGCCCCUUUGGAUGCGACGAGUGUGCACUGGACCCCGCUGCCGCCGAGCCCCUUGCGUGCCCGCACCGAAGCGCACAGGCGCCCCAGGGCGCUCCGGCCAGCGAGCGUUCCUUCUUCUGCCCGGACUGCGGACGCGGCUUUGCCCACGGGCAGCACCUGGCCCGGCAUCGGCGGGUGCACACGGGCGAAAGGCCCUUCGCCUGCGCGCAGUGUGGCCGGCGCUUCGGCUCGCGGCCUAACCUGGUCGCCCAUUCUCGGGCCCACAGCGGCGCCAGGCCUUUCGCUUGCGCGCAGUGCGGCCGCCGCUUCAGCCGCAAGUCGCACCUGGGCCGCCACCAGGCUGUGCACACGGGCAGUCGGCCCCACGCUUGUGCCGUCUGCGCCCGAAGCUUCAGCUCCAAAACCAACCUUGUGCGCCAUCAGGGCAUCCACACGGGCUCUCGCCCCUUCUCCUGCCCGCAGUGCGGCAAGAGCUUCAGCCGCAAGACUCACCUCGUGCGGCACCAGCGCAUCCACGGCGAAGCGGCCCACCUGGCCUCGGACCCUGACCUCCCGGCCCCAGCCUGGCCCGCGACCGCGGAGGUGGCAGCGCCCCCACUCUUCUUCUGAGCCUCCUUGCCGUCCAGACCCUUCCUCUGCCUUCUGUUGCUGCCUGGCUGGAGAGACCCAGGUCCAAGCGGAAUUAACAACAAAAAAUGUGGACUUCCAGCUUCUCUUGUGAAUAGUGUUGUGAAUAGGCUGGGGCUGAGCAGCAGUUGGUCUUGUUAGACUAAGGGGAAUCGUGGUGGAGGUACCAGUUUUCAACUUGGCUACUGAAAUGGACUUUGUCAAAUGGAAUGUGAAAAUUGAGGAAGGAAAAAUACAUGGGCUCAGGGGCCUGUCCUCUCCCUAUCCCACCCGUUAAGGUGAACUUCUGUUACCUGGUGAAGGUGCAUGAGCCCACCUGCGGCUCCCGGCACAGCAGUGACUCUGCAUCAACUCCGAAUGAGAUAAAUACGAGAUUGCCGCUUGCAGGUUGAUGCAGGAGAAGCUCUUUGUGGGUUGGUGCACAGAUACACUACACAUCUGCCCUCACUCAGAGCUUACAAGCAGUGUUGCAGGGUUCACUAUACGGCCAACUUUUGUGACUGUCCUGCGUAUACUUGAAAAGAACAUAUAUCCUGCAGUCCUGUGGUGCAGUGUCCUAUAUAUUCAUCCAUCGAGCCAAUUUUGUUAAUUGAUUUGUUCAAAUCUUCUGUAUCCUUCCUGAUUUUUUAUUCUAUCAACUUCUGGAAAAGGCAUGCCCAAACCUCCCAAAUGUGAUCAUAUAUUUGGAUGCUUUUAGUUCUUUUAAUGUUGAGGCCAGCAGAGGGAAAAGGGAAUGUAUAAAAAC